This is a long non-coding RNA of Micropterus dolomieu (smallmouth bass), 1752 nucleotides long. RefSeq lists it as uncharacterized. The transcript has 4 exons. The record is from RefSeq and is a predicted model, not a curated record. NCBI's taxonomy places the organism in Eukaryota, Metazoa, Chordata, Actinopteri, Centrarchiformes, Centrarchidae.
GAAACUGGAUCCCAUGCAACAUGUCUCCCACAAAGCAUUGGGAAUGUUUUGUUCAGGUCCGGUGAAAGUUAAUUACGGUUACAGUCACACGCUCACCUCGUCAGGUGCGCCGCUUCCAGGGAAGAAGUUGCCGUCGUCAUACCGAUGAAUAGACAGGUAAAGGACGUUGGGGUCAUCGUAGAAUGCCUGCUGCGUGCCGUUGCCAUGGUGAACGUCCUGAGGUUAGAGAGGACACGCAGGAUAUCAUCACAAACUUUGCAGUGCGAUUUUUAAAAACAAAAGGAAACAAAUACUAAUGUCCAGUUUGAUGCAGACAGAACGUGGACAUUAUGUUCCCACUACGUCACAUGAUAAAGACGACCUGUUCCAACGCUGGUAUUUGUGUAUGCACAGAUGAAGUGUCUUAAGAGUGUGGUGACAGCUGUGGCCUUACAUGGGAGUGCUUUCCUCUGCGUGGUGUCCAGGAGGGCGGACCACAGCGAAACCAUUCUGGAGAGACAGACAGGAGCGACAGUUUGGAACUGAGUGGGAGUAAAGCAGGCCAAACCCUUUGUCAUAUUCAUCUUUGUUUAAAGAAGAAAAAGUGGGAGAGAAAACAUUUUGGCAAGAUUAGCUCCUCUAGCUCGAUUGUUACUGCUACCAGAUGGAGGCCGGAACCAUUACACCACUCUCUGGCCAAUUCACCUGCUUUUUGGAUGGAAGUUUCUCUUUUUACUCCCCAGUGCAUUAGGAAGGAAGUGAAAUUCAAAGCCAAAAACCUCUCAAAUGAAUGCUUACGGAAGAGCAGAGAGGAAAUAAAUACUACUGGCAGCUUGACAGCGGUUUAACAUUUUGAAAGUUAAACAUGAAUCGGUGUAACACAGCCACAGAAAACUCCAAAACUGAGCUUCAGUGAAAUAUCAAUGGAACAGGAUGGUGACGCUGACCUGUGGUGAAGCGAGUUUUGACGGGAGGAUCGGGGGCUGGGACGCUGAUUGGGAAGGAGGACGCCGAAGCUGGAGAAGACUGCGCCCUGGACAGCGGGCGGUGUCCUGGGAAGGAGAUUGACAGGCCGGCAGCCUCCAUGGAGGCCUGAUAGUUUCUCAGCUGAUGAAUCCGCUGCUGCUCCAACAACAGGGCCUGCUACUCACACACACGCAAACACAAUCAGGCGUCAUGAGAUGCCACAGGACAAAGAGCAACACUUUCACAGCCCAAAAUACAGUUCUGUGUCUGUGUUUUGGAGUUUUCUCCUCUCCAGGACUUCCCCAGGAACACCUACAACACAUCAGUGCCAAGUAGAGUCGGAAUCAAUUCUCCGAAACUUCAUAUUGAUUCUCUUAGCCUACGUUGUUUUGCAGCUGCAUACCCCAUCCUCUACCUGUCUGAAGAGCAGCUCCUGCUCCACCUGCCGCUCCCGCUCCCUCUCCCGGUGCUGCUGCAGUGCCUCCUCCUGCAGCUCCUGCGGGUCGGGGGGCUCCUGCUUGAUGGUGACCCCCGGCGGCAGAGCGCCUCCAUCCUGGUGCUCCCUCAGCUCCUCCUCCGUCUCUUCUGGGUGGCUCUGGUGCUGACGGCCCACGGGGGACUCGCUGGGCUUGGCCAUCAUCUGCGGGAAAACACGGAGAGGGAAGGGGGGGGGCAAUGUGAAAUGUAUUUCACAAUCAAACAGCAGGAUGUGACAAAUCCCCUCCAACGUGUGAGUCUGCAUUCAGACAAACGGCCACGCUCUCCUCUGAAUCAAAUUCCUGGCAAAUGGCUCCUUUCUCUGGAACA